This 301-nucleotide ribosomal RNA is filed under the name uncultured bacterium. RNAcentral describes it as "partial 16S ribosomal RNA". It matches the Rfam family "Bacterial small subunit ribosomal RNA", at positions 509 to 807 of the family's 1533-position model. The record is from RNAcentral.
CAGUAGCCGCGGUAAUGCGAAGGGGGCUAGCGUUGCUCGGAAUGACUGGGCGUAAAGGGCGCGUAGGCGGCGAUCAAAGUCAGGCGUGAAAUUCCUGGGCUCAACCUGGGGGCUGCGUUUGAUACUUGAUUGCUAGAGUGGGGAAGAGGGUCGUGGAAUUCCCAGUGUAGAGGUGAAAUUCGUAGAUAUUGGGAAGAACACCGGUGGCGAAGGCGACGACCUGGUCCUUGACUGACGCUGAGGCGCGAAAGCGUGGGGAGCAAACAGGAUUAGAUACCCCCGUAGUCCCUGUCUCUUAUAC